This 660-nucleotide ribosomal RNA is filed under the name uncultured bacterium. Its description in RNAcentral is "bacterial SSU rRNA". It matches the Rfam family "Bacterial small subunit ribosomal RNA", at positions 8 to 694 of the family's 1533-position model. The record is from RNAcentral.
AGAGUUUGAUCCUGGCUCAGGACGAACGCUGGCGGUGUGCUUCACACAUGCAAGUCGAACGGAGUAGCAAUACUCAGUGGCGGACGGGUGAGUAACACGUGGGAAUCUACCAUUAGGUGGGGAAUAACAGGCCGAAAGGACUGCUAAUGCCGCAUAUGUAGGCAUCUCGACAGAGAUGUUUAUGAAAGGAGUAAUCCGCCUUUUGAUGAGCCCGCGUCCGAUUAGCUAGUUGGUAGGGUAAAAGCCUACCAAGGCGACGAUCGGUAGGUGGUCUGAGAGGAUGAUCACCCACAAUGGGACUGAGACACGGCCCAUACUCCUACGGGAGGCAGCAGUGGGGAAUUUUACGCAAUGGGGGAAACCCUGACGUAGCGACACCGCGUGAGCGAAGAAGCCCUUUGGGGUGUAAAGCUCUGUCAGCAGGAACGAAACAAAUGACGGUACCUGUGGAGGAAGCAUCGGCUAACUACGUGCCAGCAGCCGCGGUAAGACGUAGGAUGCAAGCGUUGUCCGGAUUUAUUGGGCGUAAAGAGUUCGUAGGCGGUUUGUUAAGUCUGAUGUUAAAGACCGGGGCUCAACCUCGGAAAUGCAUUGGAUACUGGCAGACUGGAGUGCAGUAGAGGCUAGUGGAAUUCCCAGUGUAGCGGUGAAAUGCGUAGA